Molecule: long non-coding RNA, 498 nt
Organism: Culex quinquefasciatus (southern house mosquito)
Lineage: Eukaryota; Metazoa; Arthropoda; Insecta; Diptera; Culicidae
Exons: 3
Source: RefSeq, a predicted model, not a curated record
CAACACAAUCACAACUGAACCAAUCCACCUGACAGUUAGCAAUUGGACGUUGUACAGUACAAAGUGACCCAGCAGUUGAAUGUUGUUUUACAUCAAUUUAUUUGGACAAACAUUGAUGUGCAGCAAACGUAAAGGACAGUUUAACAAUAGGACUAAAACAUUUUUGACAAGAAACAGACAACUAUAAACCCCCUGAAGAAGGCCUCAAAAUAAAGGCCGAAACGUCGGUGAAGUAGAGAAAAUCUGUUUUUCUUUUUCGACAAGACUGCUCGCCAAAACCAGAAAGAUUCAAAAAUGUGGUUAAGUUUUCUUUGUAAAUAUUAUGACAGUUCGGGCAAUCAAGGUAAAGUAAUAACGGUGGGAUUUCGUCAAUAUAUUGACGAAAUAUCAAUACUUUAACCGUUUAUGUUAAUGUACUGAUAGUGUAUUGACGACUUUGUCCGCCCCCUUACGAAAAAAAAGUUUUAAAAAAGUUGGUCGUCAUCGAUCAUGGCCGUU